GACGGGACCCGCACAAGCGGUGGAGCAUGUGGUUUAAUUCGACGAUACGCGAAGAACCUUACCUGGCCUUGACAUACUAAAAAGCUUUAAGAGAUUAGAGUGUGCUAGCUUGCUAGAAUUUAGAUACAGGUGCUGCACGGCUGUCGUCAGCUCGUGUCGUGAGAUGUGGGUUAAGUCCCGCAACGAGCGCAACCUCGUGUUAGUUGCUAACAGUUCGGCUGAGAACUCUAAACAGACUGCCUACGCAAGUAGGAGGAAGGUGAGGACGACGUCAAGUCAUCAUGGCCCUUACGGCCAGGGCUACACACGUGCUACAAUGGGGUAUACAAAGAGCAGCGAUACGGUGACGUGGAGCAAAUCUAGAAAAUGCCUCUCAGUUCGGAUUGUAGUCUGCAACUCGACUACAUGAAGUUGGAAUCGCUAGUAAUCGUAGAUCAGCAAUGCUACGGUGAAUACGUUCCCGGGUCUU
RNAcentral lists this ribosomal RNA (469 nucleotides) under uncultured Arcobacter sp. Its description in RNAcentral is "bacterial SSU rRNA". It matches the Rfam family "Bacterial small subunit ribosomal RNA", at positions 916 to 1381 of the family's 1533-position model. Lineage: Bacteria; Pseudomonadati; Campylobacterota; Epsilonproteobacteria; Campylobacterales; Arcobacteraceae. The record is from RNAcentral.